RNAcentral lists this ribosomal RNA (497 nucleotides) under uncultured bacterium. RNAcentral describes it as "partial 16S ribosomal RNA". It matches the Rfam family "Bacterial small subunit ribosomal RNA", at positions 28 to 507 of the family's 1533-position model. The record is from RNAcentral.
GAUGAACGCUGGCGGCGUGCCUAAUACAUGCAAGUCGAGCGAACAGAUAAGGAGCUUGCUCCUUUGACGUUAGCGGCGGACGGGUGAGUAACACGUGGAUAACCUACCUAUAAGACGGGGAUAACUUCGGGAAACCGGAGCUAAUACCGGAUAACAUAUUGAACCGCAUGGUUCAAUAGUGAAAGGCGGCUUUGCUGUCACUUAUAGAUGGAUCCGCGCCGUAUUAGCUAGUUGGUAAGGUAACGGCUUACCAAGGCAACGAUCCGUAGCCGACCUGAGAGGGUGAUCAGCCACACUGGAACUGAGACACGGUCCAGACUCCUACGGGAGGCAGCAGUAGGGAAUCUUCCGCAAUGGGCGCAAGCCUGACGGAGCAACGCCGCGUGAGUGAUGAAGGUCUUCGGAUCGUAAAACUCUGUUAUCAGGGAAGAACAAAUGUGUAAGUAACUGUGCACAUCUUGACGGUACCUGAUCAGAAAGCCACGGCUAACUACGUG